CUGAGAAUCUUCAUGUUCUUUUAUGUCAAUGGUCGAAUUCAAUUUGCUUUCCUCCUCAACCAUCUCCUCAUCAUUAUUUGACCGAUUUAGCUCAGAUUCAGCAACAUGCACACUAGUGUCUUGCGAUUCCUGAGCUUCUGCCAGGUCCCUCUGCUGAUCCAAAUCCAAAUCAUUAUGAACACCAUUGAUAGCUACAGCCUGAGAAUCUUCAUGUUCUUCUAUGUCAAUGGUCGAAUUCAAUUUGCUUUCCUCCUCAACCAUCUCCUCAUCAUUAUUUGACCGAUUUAGCUCAGAUUCAGCAACAUGCACACUAGUGUCUUGCGAUUCCUGAGCUUCUGCCAGGUCCCUCUGCUGAUCCAAAUCCAAAUCAUUAUGAACACCAUUGAUAGCUACAGCCCGAGAAUCUUCAUGUUCUUUUAUGUCAAUGGUCGAAUUCAAUUUGCUUUCCUCCUCAACCCUCUCCUCAUCAUUAUUUGACCGAUUUAGCUCAGAUUCAGCAACAUGCACACUAUUGUCUUGCGAUUCCUGAGCUUCUGCCAG
This 540-nucleotide long non-coding RNA is filed under the name Populus trichocarpa (black cottonwood). RNAcentral's name for it is "long non-coding RNA (PTRI_LNC001840)". Lineage: Eukaryota; Viridiplantae; Streptophyta; Magnoliopsida; Malpighiales; Salicaceae. The record is from RNAcentral.